GGCAGGGUAAGCUAAAUAAACUCUCGGGCCCAUACCCCGAACAUGACGGUUAAACUCCCUCUCCUGCUA
Molecule: transfer RNA, 69 nt
Filed under: unidentified
Description: Enteromius cf. bifrenatus 'Kalungwishi' tRNA-Met
Source: RNAcentral